Long non-coding RNA from Musa acuminata AAA Group (dessert banana), 682 nucleotides. RefSeq lists it as uncharacterized. The transcript is spliced from 4 exons. The record is from RefSeq and is a predicted model, not a curated record. Lineage: Eukaryota; Viridiplantae; Streptophyta; Magnoliopsida; Zingiberales; Musaceae.
CCGGCAACGCGAGGGACGGCGAACGCUUUCGAGCUCGCCGUCGACGCCCAAGGCGACCUUAAGCAGAUCCCUCCUCCGUCUUCGCCAAAUCAUCAUGCUAAAUGCUCCGAGAUAUACACAAUCCCUCAGGGUUUCAUCCAAUUUGAUCCUCUCCCUUGAUUCAAUAUCAUGUUGGACCCGUUUCUUGGAUUUCCUCGCGUCAUGGGUCGGUUGACGUCGGCCUCUCCGACGAAGAGAGCGAGCGCCGCCUUCAUAACAGGUUAUUGUGUAGGAGCAGGCAAAGGGGGUUCCUUGAAUUGGAUUUGGUAGUGGGGACAUGGGUAGGGGAGCACAUUCGUGCCUUGGAUCAGCUCCAUAUCAGAGCCCUCAUGGAUGUUCUUGACCUGGAAAGCCCAGAUCUGUGGAAGUGGCUUACUGCUAAGAGCAAGCACCAGAAGCAGUCAAGAACAAUCCUGUAUAGCAUUUCAAACAUAAAAAAUCUGUGUUUCCUUUUAGUAUUAUGUUUAUUUUCAUGUUUUAUAUUUUUCUAACUGUGUUCUGUGGGUAUUGUGUGUUAUCCACUCCAAGAUUAUGUCAAAUCUACACGGCUGCACCGGAGACCUGAGCAAAUCCUAGUCCUGCAGCUUAAUCUCUUGAGCUCGAUUAAUGUACCAUUUGUUCUUUCAAUAUAUUCUUUUCUACA